CUACGGGUUGCAGCAGUGAGGAAUAUUGCACAAUGGGGGGAACCCUGAUGCAGCAACGCCGCGUGGAGGAUGACGCAUUUCGGUGUGUAAACUCCUUUUAUAUGUCAAGAAAAUGACGGUAGCAUAUGAAUAAGCACCGGCUAACUCCGUGCCAGCAGCCGCGGUAAUACGGAGGGUGCAAGCGUUACUCGGAAUCACUGGGCGUAAAGGACGCGUAGGCGGGUCGGAAAGUCAGGUGUGAAAUCCUACAGCUUAACUGUAGAACUGCACUUGAAACUUCUAAUCUAGAGUAUGGGAGGGGGGGAUGGAAUUAGUGGUGUAGGGGUAAAAUCCGUAGAUAUCACUAGGAAUACCUAAAGCGAAGGCGAUCUCCUGGAACAUUACUGACGCUAAGGCGUGAAAGCGUGGGGAGCAAACAGGAUUAGAUACCCCUGUAGUC
RNAcentral lists this ribosomal RNA (439 nucleotides) under uncultured bacterium. RNAcentral's name for it is "partial 16S ribosomal RNA". It matches the Rfam family "Bacterial small subunit ribosomal RNA", at positions 339 to 795 of the family's 1533-position model. The record is from RNAcentral.